Molecule: ribosomal RNA, 255 nt
Filed under: Listeria monocytogenes
Lineage: Bacteria; Bacillati; Bacillota; Bacilli; Caryophanales; Listeriaceae
Description: partial 16S ribosomal RNA
Rfam family: Bacterial small subunit ribosomal RNA
Source: RNAcentral
AAUGUGGCGCAUGCCACGCUUUUGAAAGAUGGUUUCGGCUAUCGCUUACAGAUGGGCCCGCGGUGCAUUAGCUAGUUGGUAGGGUAAUGGCCUACCAAGGCAACGAUGCAUAGCCGACCUGAGAGGGGGAUCGGCCACACUGGGACUGAGACACGGCCCAGACUCCUACGGGAGGCAGCAGUAGGGAAUCUUCCGCAAUGGACGAAAGUCUGACGGAGCAACGCCGCGUGGAUGAAGAAGGGUUUCGGAUCGUAA